AGAAAUUUAGGAUACACACAUAGUCCAAGUGCCUUCAAAGCCCUUAGAGGGAGUGAAAACCUCUCAAUUUCUG
This 73-nucleotide transfer RNA is filed under the name Pardachirus pavoninus (Pacific sole). RNAcentral's name for it is "tRNA-Trp". The record is from RNAcentral. Lineage: Eukaryota; Metazoa; Chordata; Actinopteri; Pleuronectiformes; Soleidae.